This 497-nucleotide ribosomal RNA is filed under the name uncultured bacterium. RNAcentral's name for it is "partial 16S ribosomal RNA". It matches the Rfam family "Bacterial small subunit ribosomal RNA", at positions 28 to 507 of the family's 1533-position model. The record is from RNAcentral.
GAUGAACGCUGGCGGCGUGCCUAAUACAUGCAAGUCGAGCGAACAGAUAAGGAGCUUGCUCCUUUGACGUUAGCGGCGGACGGGUGAGUAACACGUGGGUAACCUACCUAUAAGACUGGGAUAACUUCGGGAAACCGGAGCUAAUACCGGAUAACAUUUGGAACCGCAUGGUUCUAAAGUGAAAGAUGGUUUUGCUAUCACUUAUAGAUGGACCCGCGCCGUAUUAGCUAGUUGGUAAGGUAACGGCUUACCAAGGCAACGAUACGUAGCCGACCUGAGAGGGUGGUCGGCCACACUGGAACUGAGACACGGUCCAGACUCCUACGGGAGGCAGCAGUAGGGAAUCUUCCGCAAUGGGCGAAAGCCUGACGGAGCAACGCCGCGUGAGUGAUGAAGGGUUUCGGCUCGUAAAACUCUGUUAUUAGGGAAGAACAAAUGUGUAAGUAACUGUGCACGUCUUGACGGUACCUAAUCAGAAAGCCACGGCUAACUACGUG